UUUGAUAAAUACAGCAAAUUGCUUUCUAAAAGUUGUUCAGUAAUUUUUGACCAAAUAGAGCUUCCAUGUUUUCAAAUUUUUUUGUCUUAUUUAGUAAUAUCCUUUUGUUUUACUCUUUAUUAAUCUAAUAGGGGUCCAUUUUUAUUAUCUAUUAGAUCAAUUUUUUUGCUACGUUUGUUUUCUAUUUGUAUAUCUUUAGAAAAUAUUCUCAUAAUAUUUGACUCACAAAACUUUAUAGGUAAUAAAAUAAGUCUGACAGAGAGGGUUAAGUUCUAAAAACAUGUAUAAUGGGUAAGAGAACAUAUGUGAAUGUAUGAUGAGAUUGAUUUAGUUAUCUUGCAGUGAUAUGUAACCAAUAAUUACCUUAUUAUCCUUACAAUACUAUAAAGUAGAUAUUAUUAUAAUCCUAACUUUGUGUUAGAAGCAGCUACAAUUUAGUGCUAAAGUUAGCGUCACAAGGCACACUGGUAGUCUGAAGGUUUGAAUGCACAAAGAACAUACGUUUAACUGCUAUAUAUUGCUUAAAUAAGGAUCUGAUUACGGAAAACCUCUAUCUAAGGAUGUCUACCUGGUCUUUAAAAUAAAUUUUUAUUAGUAUUAUUAUUAUUUUAAGAGACAGGGUCUUGCUCUGUCACUCAGGCUGUAGUGCAACUAUGUGAUCAUGGCUCACAGCAGCCUUGACCUCCUGGCCUCAAGUGAUCCUCCUACCUCUAAAAUAACAAAGUUGUGCCCAAUUAUAUUCUCUGCUCUUUCUGAAGUAUACAUCAGCAUGCUCACUUUUAUCUUGCUACUUCAAUCCCAUGCUUGUGUUAGCAGUAACAAUAAUCAGUCAUAAUUCACUAUUUUGUUUUAUAUUAGGCUCUCACACCCAAACCCCAAGUCCUCAUGCUCAAAAACCCAGGUUGCCUUGAUUUGGUAAUAAUUUUAGCCCAGAAUCCCUUU
Molecule: long non-coding RNA, 942 nt
Filed under: Homo sapiens (human)
Lineage: Eukaryota; Metazoa; Chordata; Mammalia; Primates; Hominidae
Description: HSALNT0270922
Source: RNAcentral